This 772-nucleotide long non-coding RNA is filed under the name Mytilus galloprovincialis (Mediterranean mussel). Lineage: Eukaryota; Metazoa; Mollusca; Bivalvia; Mytilida; Mytilidae. The record is from RNAcentral.
GUGGCUUCUAUCUAUUCAUAUACCUUUUCUAUUUCGUCUAAUGAAUGUCCAUUGGAUUUAAAAAGUUUUAACAAAAUCAAUUCUUUUUUAUAACUCAGUAUUUACUCUGGAAAAAUACCUGUACCAGCUUACAAAUAUGACGGUUAUAUAUUUUUUGUUCUGUUUUUUAGAAAAAAAAGUCUGACGUUUGAAAUGUUAGUUGUCAUGGACGUCAUCCUAAAUUGAAUUUAAAUAGGAGUUCGUCAAAUUUGUCAUACUCGUUUUUUUUUUAACUUGUGUUGAGUAAAAUAGUUUGUGCUCAAUUAUAAAUGAACACUCAUAUAAAUAAAUAUAUAUAUAUCGCAAGUUCACAAGGGAGUGACAUAAACUUUAUCCAUAUAAACAUUUAUCAUAACAGCCUAAUCAUUAUGGUUUCAUUGAAUAAACUAAAAUUUGAAAACUUAACGAAAUUGCUAUUGUUUAAACCUUUUACAGGUUAACAUACGUACUUCAGUUUUAAAUGAAGUCUUGUGUAGGCUGUUUUUUCAUAGUUUUCACUUUUGGUUACCGUUGGUAUAUUAUGCCUCUUUCUUGUUAUUGAAUCUUAACAUAGAUAGGUAGUUUAUUCAUAUGGGUUGGGUUGGGAGACAAGGGUACGAACUAAUGUCAAACUCUAGACCACCUGCGUGUAUCUAGUACAUACGUUUUAAUAGCCUUUGAUGACUAUUUACACCACUGGGUCGAUGCCACUGCUGGUUGACGUUUCGUCCCCGAGGGUAUCACCAGCCCAGUA